AUUGAACGCUGGCGGCAUGCUUUACACAUGCAAGUCGAACGGCAGCGCGGGCUUCGGCCUGGCGGCGAGUGGCGAACGGGUGAGUAAUACAUCUGAACGUGCCCAGUAGUGGGGGAUAGCUCGGCGAAAGCCGGAUUAAUACCGCAUACGACCUGAGGGUGAAAGCGGGGGAUCUUCGGACCUCGCGCUAUUGGAGCGGCCGAUGGCCGAUUAGCUAGUUGGUGGGGUAAAGGCCUACCAAGGCGACGAUCUGUAGCUGGUCUGAGAGGACGACCAGCCACACUGGCACUGAGACACGCCCGAGACGCCGACGGGAGUGAGCAUUGGGGAAUUUUGGACAAUGGGCGAAAGCAUGAUCCAGCAAUGCCGCGUGUGUGAUGAAGGCCUUCGGGUUGUAAAGCACUUUUGGCGGGAACGAAAAGGACUGUGCCAAUACCACGGUUCGAUGACGGUACCCGCAGAAUAAGCACCGGCUAACUACGUG
Molecule: ribosomal RNA, 484 nt
Filed under: uncultured bacterium
Lineage: Bacteria
Description: partial 16S ribosomal RNA
Rfam family: Bacterial small subunit ribosomal RNA
Source: RNAcentral